AAACCAACAGGGAUUGCCUCAGUAACGGCGAGUGAAGCGGCAAAAGCUCAAAUUUGAAAUCUGGUAGUUUCACUAUCCGAAUUGUAAUUUGAAGAGAUAACUUUGGAAUUGGCUCUUGUCUAUGUUCCUUGGAACAGGACGUCACAGAGGGUGAGAAUCCCGUGCGAUGAGAUGACCAAUUCUAUGUAAAGUAUUCUCGACGAGUCGAGUUGUUUGGGAAUGCAGCUCUAAGUGGGUGGUAAAUUCCAUCUAAAGCUAAAUAUUGGCGAGAGACCGAUAGCGAACAAGUACAGUGAUGGAAAGAUGAAAAGAACUUUGAAAAGAGAGUGAAAAAGUACGUGAAAUUGUUGAAAGGGAAGGGCUUGAGAUCAGACUUGGUAUUGAUUUUAUCUUUACUGGGCCAGCAUCGGUUUGUACGGUGAGAUAAGACUUAUUGGAAAGUAGCUCAUCUUUUUGAGUGUUAUAGCCUUUAGUGAUGUCACCAGUAUAGACCGAGGACUGCGAUUUUAUAUCAAGGAUGUUGGCAUAAUGAUCUUAAGCCGC
Molecule: ribosomal RNA, 543 nt
Filed under: Wickerhamia fluorescens
Lineage: Eukaryota; Fungi; Ascomycota; Pichiomycetes; Serinales; Debaryomycetaceae
Description: eukaryotic LSU rRNA
Rfam family: Eukaryotic large subunit ribosomal RNA
Source: RNAcentral